GAUGGUUGGGGUGGUGAGGGAGAGUGAGGGUGAGUGUGGCCGUGCAAGCAGGCAGUGACGUGGUGAGGCUGGCCAUGAACGGUGUAGCGGCGGUGGGGUGCGUGGUCGCUACCUUCUCCUCUCCUGCUCCUCCUCCUCCCAGUUGCCCCCUCAGCCCAUCGUGCCUCCGCCUCUCUUCCACCCGACACUUUUUGAGUCAACAGUGACCAGCACCCCUCCCCGGCCACGCGCACGCCGCCUCUGCUGCAGCUGAUAACCUGUAGUGCACCCGUCAUCUCACGCCCGGACGCUCCCCACACACCCCGAAAGCCUCCGGCGGGGCGGCCAAACAUCCUGGUUCGCGUGGGUGUGCCGUUCUGCUUUCAAGGCGACUUUUCCAAUACUUCGUACGAGACACUGUGAACGCUAUCUUGUGUGUCGCUCAGUAAUGUGUUGGUCAGUGCAGGGGUCUUAGUCAUGACCCAUGAGAGUCACUGGUAGCAUGGCUGUGUGAUAAGGUCUCGUGAGGAAGAGUUGCAGAGGCGGCAAGGGAGAGAAGGCGCAUCAGACACGGGACACUCCCCGACGCGAUCACCACAACGCCUACAGAAGUGAUCGACGACUGAUGAAAUAAUCCAUAAUGAUGGUCGCGGGAGGCCGGCGCGACCUGGGUGGCAUUCGGGAAGGACAGGCGUGCCCUGGGCAGUUCAGGUCUGGUCGUGCGCCUCAUCGACCCCUCUGAAGAACUUUUCGCAAGAGUCACCCCGGCCCACGUCAUGUCCCAGUCUAAGGCGGUGUAGCCAGGAUGCAGCUGCAAUGGACGUGUGCCAGUUUUCUGCCGCUGCUGUUGUUGCUGCUAAUGUUACUGCUGCAGGUGGCAAGUGUGGGGUGCAGCACGUCCUCCACCAGCUUACUGCGGUGGGAGCGGUCCCCUGCCUAUAACUCCGGCUUCUACGCCCCCAGCCGCCCCUCCAAGACCCGUCGCUACAGUCGCCGGGACCGCCGGAGACGGCCAGACUCGUGCCGCAGUGGGCGUCACAGAUGUCACCGCCACGCCGUGUGUCGUAGCUUCCACCGUCACCACCGCUGCGUGUGUCGGGAUGGCUGGCAAGGCAAUGGUCGCAGCUGUAGAGAUCUAGACGAGUGUCAGGUGCACAACGGUGGGUGUGUGCACGUGUGCACCAACACCCCUGGAAACUACACCUGUUCUUGUUAUCCGGGCUUCCUGCCGGAUGUGCACGACCCGCACAACUGUCAGGACGUGGACGAGUGUACCCUCCACAACGGCGGGUGUCAGCAUUCCUGUAGCAACACCCUCGGCUCCUUCGCCUGCUCCUGUCCCGACGGCCUCACACUGGCUUCCGACGGCCGCACCUGUUCUGUGGCCACUCCGUCAUGUACCUCACUGUCCUGUGAGCACCACUGCCUGCCCGAGCCUGGCGGGGCGCCCUCCUGUGGUUGUCGGGAAGGUUACGUCCUUGUGCGCGGCAAGUUUUGCAAGCCAACCUGCUCCGUGGGUAACGGAGGCUGCCAGCACCAUUGCCAUGAAAGCAUCUCUGGCUCCAAUUGCACUUGUCACGCCCAAUACCUGCUAGCUGCCGACGGCCAAUCCUGCACACCCUCGUGCGCCAUCAAGAACGGAGGAUGUGACCGCCGCUGCCACAACACAGCCACGGGGGUGCGGUGCUCCUGUCCGCGAGGUUUCCAGCUGCACCACGACCACCGUACCUGUCUGGACGUGGACGAGUGUGCUGAGGAUAGUGGGGGUUGCCAACAUCACUGCGUCAACAACUGGGGAAGCUUCGAGUGUUUAUGUCCAGAAGGCCACAAGCUGCUUCCUGACGAGCGCACCUGUGUGGACGUGGAUGAGUGCGCAGUCAAAGGCACCUGCGAACACCUGUGCACCAACACCCAAGGCUCCUACACCUGUUCCUGUAGGGAGGGAUUCCAACUCUUCGCAGGAGCACAUUGUGGAGACAUCAAUGAGUGCAGUAUUAACAACGGUGGAUGCAGUCACCAAUGUGUCAACACGAGGGGCUCCCACCGCUGCGAGUGUCGGGAGGGCUAUAGGCUGCACCCUAAUGGGAAGGACUGCCUCAGCAACGACCAGUGCACGCCUCUCAGGAGUCCCGCCAAGGCUGAGGUGUCAUGCUACCACCUGGAGGAAUUCGGACACAAGGGAUGGUGCACGGUCAAAUGUCGCCGCGGGGCCGCCUUCAUCUCUGGUAACAGCGAUACAAACAAUGAUAAUGACUACCACAUGAUGACCUGCGGCCCUGACACUGCUUUCACAUGGCGCACUGAGGCUAACAGUACCUACUUCGCUUGCUCCGAAGGACAAGCGGAGACCGGCUUCAAGCGAACAGUGAGGCUGCUGGUGGCGGCGCGAUACUCCAAACGUGUUUCACUAGAUCACCUUCUGGAGGAAAUGACUCGGAUCCUUGCAGGAUGGAUGAAGCCCUGUGGUCACAAGUGCAGGCUGAGAGUCACUUCAGGGAAGGUCACUAAGUCCAAGAAACUGAGGAAGCGCCAUAAGGUGACUCGAGACCAGCAUCUGGUGCGCAUCAAGUUCGAGGUUCUGGCCUUCCCGCCAGGUGGCGGCCUCCAGUGCGGGCGGGGUUGUGAGCGUCAGGCAGCAGAACAAUUGCUGACGAAGAUCUUGAAGCCUCUCAGAAGGAACAUCGCCCAAAAUCGCCAGCUGUCCAGCUCAUCCUCAGGCCGGCUCCAGUACCGUCUGCUGCCGGCUACCUACCAGGUCGGGAAGCGACUCAAGACCGCGUGUCCCGAUGGCUUUGUCUCUGUGGCUGGCAAGUGUGCUCGGGUUCCCAGCAUGACCUACGUACUGACCAGUGUUUGGCAUGUCCCGCCGGCACCUAUCAACCAGACGAGGGUGCUACGCAGUGCCUCGCCUGUCCCGCCCAACCCACCACUACGCGCUCCAUGCAACGGACAGGAGCCAGGAACCUCUCCGAAUGUGCAGACGCUUGCCCAGCCGGGUGGUGGAGCGCUGAUGGCUACAGCCCUUGUCAGCAGUGUGCGGCGGGCACCUAUCAGGCGGAGAAGGGGCGUGUCCAGUGUUCCACGUGCCCCAGCGGCCACGACUCCCAGCCAGGCGCCACCUCGCUUGAGCAAUGUCUGGCAGACACUGAGAAGUGCGAGCUGGGAUACUUCUGGAACGUGAGCCGCGGGUCAUGUGAGAAGUGUCCAGCAGGCUACUACCAGAACACCACCGGGGCCGCCUCCUGCUUGCGGUGUCCCGCCUCCUCCACCACUGACCAUCCCGGAGCCACCUCUAUCCACCAAUGCAAAAGACACAAAUGCGGCGGUCAUGUGGGGCCGCUAUCUGGAGUGUUCGAGACGCCCAACUACCCCGGCCACUAUCCAGACGGCGUCCGCUGCACGUGGGUGGUACGGCCGAAGAGGGGGCGUCGAGUGUUGGUGGUAGUGCCCAG
This 3431-nucleotide unclassified non-coding RNA is filed under the name Portunus trituberculatus (swimming crab). Its description in RNAcentral is "signal peptide, CUB and EGF-like domain-containing protein 1, transcript variant X5". The record is from RNAcentral. Lineage: Eukaryota; Metazoa; Arthropoda; Malacostraca; Decapoda; Portunidae.